Molecule: ribosomal RNA, 311 nt
Filed under: uncultured eukaryote
Lineage: Eukaryota
Description: partial 18S ribosomal RNA
Rfam family: Eukaryotic small subunit ribosomal RNA
Source: RNAcentral
UCCCUAGACGUUCUGGGCUGCACGCGCGCUACAAUAAUACGCACAGCGAGUAUCACCGAGCUCGAAAGGGCAAGGUAAACAAUAGAAAAGGUACUGUAAUGGUUAUAGAUCCUUGUAAUUAUUGAUCUUCAACGAGGAAUUCCUAGUAAGUAUGUGUCAUCAUCACGCACUGAUUACGUCCCUGCCCUUUGUACACACCGCCCGUCGCUCCUACCGAUUGGGUGAGCCGAUGAAACUCUCGGAUGUAGGCUAUUCAUAGCCCGCAGAAGAGAUUUGAAUCGUAGCGCUUAGAGGAAGGAGAAGUCGUAACA